This is a non-coding RNA of Salmo salar (Atlantic salmon), 633 nucleotides long. NCBI's taxonomy places the organism in Eukaryota, Metazoa, Chordata, Actinopteri, Salmoniformes, Salmonidae. The record is from RefSeq and is a predicted model, not a curated record.
GGGUUGAGCCGAUGGGAUCAGCUGAGAAAGAGAAUUGUCUAUCUAUCUGACUCUGAGAAGAGAAAACCCGGGGUUGUAAUGACAGUCCUGAUAGACAUCAGCAGGAAUCGAGUUACAGCUGGGAACAGGGUAAAGAGGACAGCAAGAGACACGAUUGUGUUUGUUGGAGUACUAGCAGUGUGACCGUGACAGCAGCAGCUGGAACAUGAGAUCCUCUCACCUCCCCUGUGGACAAACAGGCAGCAGGGAUGAAAGACAAGCCUCUGUGUGGAACAAGACAGGGACUCUCCCUCGUACUACUUCUCUCUGUGUUGCUCUGUCUCUGGAUUCAGGUGAUUCUUAUCUAAUGUCAGAACGGGUCUCCCAAGACAGAAAAAAAAGGGAAACGUGAGGUGAAAAAGGGGAAUGGUGAGAAUGUUGACAGUUCUGGAAGGUUUCCAUUGUGUUCAUGUCCACAUAAAUACACAGGAGAGUGUGUUGGUUUUUUCUUGGUAUAUUGUAUAUGGGAGAAGAUAUGGUGUUUUCAGCAACUGUUGUCUGUGCAAUGUCCUUUGAUGAGGUUUGACAUUUUCAAAGCAAUGUAUAAGACAUAAAUAACUUAUGUGAGUCCCACUCAAGAAUGACUCAAAAUAA